This 301-nucleotide ribosomal RNA is filed under the name uncultured bacterium. RNAcentral describes it as "partial 16S ribosomal RNA". It matches the Rfam family "Bacterial small subunit ribosomal RNA", at positions 510 to 808 of the family's 1533-position model. The record is from RNAcentral.
CGUAGCCGCGGGAAUACGUAGGUGGCAAGCGUUGUCCGGAAUUAUUGGGCGUAAAGGGCUCGCAGGCGGUUUCUUAAGUCUGAUGUGAAAGCCCCCGGCUCAACCGGGGAGGGUCAUUGGAAACUGGGAAACUUGAGUGCAGAAGAGGAGAGUGGAAUUCCACGUGUAGCGGUGAAAUGCGUAGAGAUGUGGAGGAACACCAGUGGCGAAGGCGACUCUCUGGUCUGUAACUGACGCUGAGGAGCGAAAGCGUGGGGAGCGAACAGGAUUAGAUACCCCAGUAGUCCCUGUCUCUUAUACA